Molecule: long non-coding RNA, 243 nt
Filed under: Homo sapiens (human)
Lineage: Eukaryota; Metazoa; Chordata; Mammalia; Primates; Hominidae
Description: LHRI_LNC1437.1
Source: RNAcentral
UCCUGCCUCAGCCUCCCGAGUAGCUGGGAUUACAGGCGCCCGCCACCACGCCCGGCUAAUUUUUUGUAUUUUUAGUAGAGACAGGGUUUCACCGUGUUGGCCAGGAUGGUCUCUAUCUCCUGACCUCGUGAUCCACCUGCCUCGGUCUCCCAAAGUGCUGGGAUUACAGGCGUGAGCCACAGUGCCCGGCCUGAAAACAUUUAUUACAACAAAACGUCAGAGCUAUGUGACAGUAAGUUACCA